UGCCGAAGAAAAAAAAACAUGCGCUCGACAGAGACGACGGGAUCGGUCGCCGCGCGAGAGAGAAGGGGGUCCGUCGCCGAGGAACGCCUCGCUUGGGUGCACGGUGAUGGCAGGCCUCGAGUAGUCGAGCGGCCAUGCGGCUCUUCCCCGCGACCUCUGCCGCGGCGGCGACCAAGACCCCCGCAAGGCCCGCGUCCUCGGCCGCGGCGGCGGCGACGGCCAAGUUCGUCUCCCGCGCGCGGUUCCCGCACGCCUCCGAGAACUCCGAACCCAACAUCGUCGCCUCCCCUCCCUCGACGACGCGCGGGUGUUCACUGUCGGAUUUCCUUGGGUAGCAACAAUAUUAGCUUAGCGAACAACCAUGGAUUGGCACCACAUUGGCUGGCACGUGAGAGCAAGGCAAGCAAGUAAAAGGUGUUUUGCAUGUCUGUGAAAAAAGCAAGGAGAAGCAAAGUUUGUAACUAUACAUCCAGAUCGACCCAGGAGGCCAGGAGCAGAGGGAAGGCAGAUGAGGGUCGAUCCAGCCGCCACGGGCAAUGCGGCCGAUGAGGGGAUCGGUGGGGCGAUGCGGGCAACAAGGGGAUCGGUCGAUCCAGCCGACAUGGGCGAUUUGUCUGCCAGGGAGAAAGGGGAAGAGGCAAUCAUGCUUCAGUCUCUGUUCAGACAUUCAUAGCAGGUGAUGGGCCGGGUGAUGAUGGCGUUCUUCUGCAUGAACGUGAACCUGGUGUUCUUGAUGCGGAUGGUGAAACAGGCAACAACCGCAUAACCAACAACACGAGCAAGUGAACCAGAGGAUCCUAUUGGGGACGCUACAAGACCUACCAUCAUAUUACAAUCUUAGCUUCAUUGUCGUACUUACUACAUGUUACAUAUGACUUCACAUAUCACCUACACAAGCAAUGAUAAUAUGCGUUCCAAACAGAAUAUGUGUGAAUAACAUGAACAGUACUCCCUCCGUAAACUAAUAUAAGAACCUUUAGAUCACUACUUUAGUAAUCUAAACACUCUUAUAUUAGUUUACAGAGGGAGUAGUAGAUAUGUGACUGCUGUGUCCAAAGCACCGCCCUUUUUUUUUAGUGAGUCCCUCACAAGCCUCCUUAGAUACUCUCUGUUCCUGUGGCUAUGUCGAUUUCUUACUACUAUCAUUAAAUAAAAGUUGUAACUAGAAUUGCCUAAGCGCAACUAUGUUUUAGUUAUGGUUUGUGCAUCUUGGCCAUGUUCUGAACUUUCUAGCGAUGUUAUAUACCCUCGACACCUAAUGUUAUAUACUUUGAACAAUACGAAACCCAAGCUUUCAUCUGUAGUUUGUGUACUUAAUAUCGAUUAUUGUAGUUCUCACCAUAUCAGUAGUUGAAUCUUCAUUCUUUUUUUGUGUCAAAACUGCUUCGGUACUUCUUCACUUUGUACGCAAUGGGGAAAUGGUUUCUUUGUUCAUUUAUGAGAAAUGAUAAUUUAGAUUGUGGAAAUGUUUUCAGUAAAUCCGAAACAGCCAUUUAAUGUCAUUCUCUGUAUUGUCAUUUGUGCCAUUGGAGACUUGAAAAUAAAUGAAUAUAUUUAUCCUCUCAUUUCUUUCAGAAGUUGUAUGUUUAGAACAUGUGGUGAACGGAGGUUUGCAUUCAUGGAGUUAUGUGAUUUAUUGUAGAGUAGCCUUUAUAGACUGUUGUCAAUUUUUUGAAUGAUAAUGACAUUUUCAAGCUUAGUCAGCUGCAUUACGCAAGGAGCACUUCAGCCUUGCGGAUACAGGACUAGAGAUGCUACUGUUUUUCUGCUACAACUAUGCCGUGUAGGUAAGAUGCACAUUUGUUUGUGCUUUUACUGGGAAAAAAAAUAUUCGGUGUUGUUGAUGUAUUGCAUAGUUCUAACUAUCUAUGAGUGUUUUUUGUCCCCUGUCUCUUUAAACCAAUGUCAUCUUUUAAUCUUUGUCAGCUAUAUUUGUAUGCAUCAAGUUUCAGUUAUUCUUGAUUAACUGCUAUCUUCUUUGUUGGUAAAAUCUCUUGCAUUUUCACAACACAGGUAUAGCCAUGAUCUGUGGAGGAACCGUGGAACUAGGAUAAUCUUUUGGCAUCACGCUAGCAUUCCCUGUUGGUCUACAUACUAUUAUUCUAAUACCUCUCUAAUGCCUCUCUUGUUAUGAUUACUCUUGGGGAAAGAUCAAUUUGUCCUGAUGCUUAUGUUCUCACUUGGGCAAAACUUGAACUAUAUAUAUAUAUAUUUGAUUCAUUAA
Aegilops tauschii subsp. strangulata is the source of this 2224-nucleotide long non-coding RNA. RefSeq lists it as uncharacterized. The record is from RefSeq and is a predicted model, not a curated record. Lineage: Eukaryota; Viridiplantae; Streptophyta; Magnoliopsida; Poales; Poaceae.